RNAcentral lists this ribosomal RNA (800 nucleotides) under uncultured bacterium. RNAcentral's name for it is "bacterial SSU rRNA". It matches the Rfam family "Bacterial small subunit ribosomal RNA", at positions 707 to 1504 of the family's 1533-position model. The record is from RNAcentral.
CACUCGUGGCGAAAGCGAGCUACUGGACAUUUACUGACGCUGAGGCUCGAAGGCUAGGGUAGCGAAAGGGAUUAGAUACCCCUGUAGUCCUAGCAGUAAACGGUGUGCGCUUGGUGUGAGGGGAUUCGACCCCCCUUGUGCCGGAGCUAACGCGUUAAGCGCACCGCCUGGGAAGUACGGUCGCAAGACUAAAACUCAAAGAAAUUGACGGGGACCCGCACAAGCGGUGGAGUAUGUGGCUUAAUUCGAUGCAACGCGAAGAACCUUACCAAGGCUUGACAUGCAUCUCUAAGCGCGUGAAAGCGCGUGACCCUUCGGGGGAUUUGCACAGGUGCUGCAUGGCCGUCGUCAGCUCGUGUCGUGAGAUGUUGGGUUAAGUCCCGCAACGAGCGCAACCCUUGUGAAUAGUUGCCAGCGGGUCAUGCCGGGAACUCUAUUCAGACUGCCCAGAUCAACUGGGAGGAAGGUGGGGACGACGUCAGGUCAGUAUGGCCCUUACGCCUUGGGCUGCACACGUACUACAAUGCCCAGUACAAUGAGAACCGAGACCGCGAGGUGGAGGAAAUCUGCAAAACUGGGCCCAGUUCGGAUUGGAGGCUGCAACCCGCCUCCAUGAAGUUGGAAUCGCUAGUAAUGGCACAUCAGCAACGGUGCCGUGAAUACGUUCCCGGGUCUUGUACACACCGCCCGUCACAUCAUGGAAGCCGGUCGCACCCGAAGUGCCUGCGCCAACCCGCAAGGGAGGCAGGGUCCUAAGGUGAGGCUGGUAACUGGGAUGAAGUCGUAACAAGGUACCCGUA